Molecule: long non-coding RNA, 764 nt
Organism: Quercus robur (English oak)
Lineage: Eukaryota; Viridiplantae; Streptophyta; Magnoliopsida; Fagales; Fagaceae
Exons: 2
Source: RefSeq, a predicted model, not a curated record
UUGUGCACAUUGUAUAAAAGGCAGUGAUGCCAUGUGAAAAUCCCAUCGGAAAUUAUGAAAAAUAUUAACAAUGAAGAGAGGAAAUGAAAGUUUGGAGAAAUUGGAGGGAAAAAUGCUCAAACACCCCCCCUAAACUUUCAAAUAGUGGCCGUAACACCUCCUGAAUUUUAAUUUUGGCCAAUUUACUCCUUAAACUCUAAACACCUGCCAAAUCAAUACAUCUGUUACUCUUCCGUUAAUAAACUAAUGGUAAAACUCACGUGAGAGGCACGUGGGAAUAAAAGCUAAAGCUAAACAGCCUGAACCGUUGAGAGAGAGGGAGAAAGUUUGAGCUUAGUUUAGAGAGAGGGGAGAUGAUCCAACCAGAAGUCCAUAAUCACCUCAGUAUCCUCUCUCCGAUGCCGGAGUUCCACCGUCAUCUCACUGGCUGUUCACCGCUGGUAAUCAUAAUGUAUACUGUUGGAGAAGAACAAAGUUGCAAUGCACAUAGAGGAUCCCUAAGUGGCAUGGAGUACAUAUCAAUAUAUUUUACCAAAAUGUCAAACUCGUUUGUCAUAUGGAGAAAAUCAAUCAACAUGAAGGAGAUGUUUUCAGUGGCUUUUGUAAAUCUGGACUCUAGUGCCAGCUUACUAUAUAUACAUUGCAGUGACUAUCUAUGUAGGAGCCCCAAAAAAAGGGCUUGUGAUGUAAUAUACCUACCUAUUUAGAUUAGAUGUAAUAUAAUAUAAAAAUAUUCACAACUAUGUAAUGUUCAACUUAUGAAA